Molecule: non-coding RNA, 264 nt
Organism: Heterocephalus glaber (naked mole-rat)
Lineage: Eukaryota; Metazoa; Chordata; Mammalia; Rodentia; Bathyergidae
Source: RefSeq, a predicted model, not a curated record
ACCAGAAGUAAUGCAGUUGUUCAUACUGGUCUUGGACUUCCCCAACAAAUUUUAACUUUUAUAUUGAGAGUCAUGAAAAAUUAAAACUCCUAUUCAAAAUGAUACCCUUAACCUAGAGAAAAUUCUGUGAGAUACUACCUGAAACUUUAACUGCCUGCCUUAUGCUAUUCCUUCAUGAGGUUUUCUACAAUAUAAUCAGGAUAUAUAUACACAGUGCAUAAUAUGGUGAAAUUGGAGAAGCAUGCACAAGGCCAAAACAUGUCU